RNAcentral lists this ribosomal RNA (1043 nucleotides) under Streptomyces sp. CAI-17. Its description in RNAcentral is "partial 23S ribosomal RNA". It matches the Rfam family "Bacterial large subunit ribosomal RNA", at positions 1368 to 2290 of the family's 2925-position model. Lineage: Bacteria; Bacillati; Actinomycetota; Actinomycetes; Kitasatosporales; Streptomycetaceae. The record is from RNAcentral.
AUCUGCCCAGGGUAAGUCGGGACCUAAGGCGAGGCCGACAGGCGUAGUCGAUGGAUAACCGGUUGAUAUUCCGGUACCCGCUGUGAAGCGUCAAACAUUGAAUCCAGUGAUGCUAAGCCCGUGAAGCCGUUCCGGACCCUUCGGGGAAUGGAAAGUGGUGGAGCCGGUGGCCCGAGCUGGUAGUAGGUGAGUGAUGGGGUGACGCAGGAAGGUAGUCCAUCCCGGGCGGUGGUUGUCCCGGGGUAAGGGUGUAGGCCGUGCGAUAGGUAAAUCCGUCGUACAUGUGGCUGAGACCUGAUGCCGAGCCGAUUGUGGUGAAGUGGAUGAUCCUAUGCUGUCGAGAAAAGCCUCUAGCGAGUUUCAUGGCGGCCCGUACCCUAAACCGACUCAGGUGGUCAGGUAGAGAAUACCGAGGCGUUCGGGUGAACUAUGGUUAAGGAACUCGGCAAAAUGCCCCCGUAACUUCGGGAGAAGGGGGGCCAUGUCUGGUGAUGAGUCUUGCACUCUGAGCUGGGUGUGGCCGCAGAGACCAGCGAGAAGCGACUGUUUACUAAAAACACAGGUCCGUGCGAAGCCGUAAGGCGAUGUAUACGGACUGACGCCUGCCCGGUGCUGGAACGUUAAGGGGACCGGUUAGUCACAUUUCGGUGUGGCGAAGCUGAGAACUUAAGCGCCAGUAAACGGCGGUGGUAACUAUAACCAUCCUAAGGUAGCGAAAUUCCUUGUCGGGUAAGUUCCGACCUGCACGAAUGGCGUAACGACUUCUCGACUGUCUCAACCAUAGGCCCGGUGAAAUUGCAUUACGAGUAAAGAUGCUCGUUUCGCGCAGCAGGACGGAAAGACCCCGGGACCUUUACUACAGUUUGAUAUUGGUGUUCGGUUCGGCUUGUGUAGGAUAGGUGGGAGACUGUGAAGCAUGCACGCCAGUGUGUGUGGAGUCGUCGUUGAAAUACCACUCUGGUCGUGCUGGAUGUCUAACCUGGGUCCGUGAUCCGGAUCAGGGACAGUGUCUGAUGGGUAGUUUAACUGGGGCGGUUGCCUCC